Molecule: unclassified non-coding RNA, 303 nt
Filed under: plant metagenome
Description: partial contains 5.8S ribosomal RNA, internal transcribed spacer 2, and large subunit ribosomal RNA
Rfam family: 5.8S ribosomal RNA (bases 1-105)
Source: RNAcentral
GAAAUGCGAUAAGUAAUGUGAAUUGCAGAAUUCAGUGAAUCAUCGAAUCUUUGAACGCACAUUGCGCCCGCCAGUAUUCUGGCGGGCAUGCCUGUUCGAUCGUCAUUUCAACCAUCAAGCCCCGCGCUUGUGUUGGGGACCUGCGGCUGCCGCAGGCCCUGAAAACCAGUGGCGGGCUCGCUGUCACACCGGGCGUAGUAGAUUUUAUCUCGCUCAGGGCGUGCUGCGGGUUCCGGCCGUUAAAAAGCCUUUUUUACCCAAGGUUGACCUCGGAUCAGGUAGGAAGACCCGCUGAACUUAAGC